UGGCGCUAGGCGCUUCGUGAGUCGCUAC
Molecule: small RNA, 28 nt
Filed under: Bombyx mori (domestic silkworm)
Lineage: Eukaryota; Metazoa; Arthropoda; Insecta; Lepidoptera; Bombycidae
Description: ovarian small RNA-34895
Source: RNAcentral